CGUAUACAAAUGCAAUUAUGAACAUACCAAUAACAUCCUUUGCCUGUACAACAGUGAUUGAUCGUUUUAACGACUUUUUGUUUGUUGGUGUAGGUGAUCAAAGUAGGCCUGAAUUUUUUUAGUUUUCUCAACGGUCAUUUUGCCGCCAUACCGAAGAAGCCGGAGCCGGAUUGAAAAAUGCUCGUCACGGAUAUGAAGGUGCUGGCGGUCUUUUCCAGAUAUGGGCCAGGAACGGUACCAAAGCGCUUCCGCCAACAGCGUUCUUCGCGGGAGUCUGGUUUUCAUUGGAAUAGCCUUUGGUGUAAUCAUUCCACUUAGCCAGCUUUCCAUGUAGGUGCUCCAUUGAUAGCUUCGAGCCCCAGAUCACCAAAGCACUGGGCCGGGUGGAACUCCAGUACCCCAACUGAAGGACAAGGACGAGAUGGUCUUCUGGUGCCGAACGGUUGCAGCGUCCAGAUAUUAAAAAUUGUGCCUUUUAAAGUGUAAUAGUGUUAAAUUUUUUUUUCAAAUAAAAUGAAAAUAU
Long non-coding RNA from Uranotaenia lowii, 523 nucleotides. RefSeq lists it as uncharacterized. The record is from RefSeq and is a predicted model, not a curated record. The transcript is spliced from 3 exons. NCBI's taxonomy places the organism in Eukaryota, Metazoa, Arthropoda, Insecta, Diptera, Culicidae.